GGGGAUGUCUUGGUUUCGACGGGGUCGUUGAUACACAGACGGCGAGCGGAGGAUUCUCGUUGGCCUCCAUAAAAACGAGAAAUUUAAAAUUAAACGCUGAUAAUAAAUUAGCUCUUCAGGCUGCCUAAGCGCGCCUCGUCGGCAUAAAGGUAUUCCGAGCCUUUAGUGUCCGGCGUCAGUAAAUCGGACCCGACAACACGUAGGUUAGCGUUGUGAACGGUGCAGCCAAAGCUUUGAGGCUGCAUGGCUCUUAUGAAGCUAGCGCCAUAGCGAACCUGUCUGCUGGUGCACUAUGACGGGAAUUUAAAUAACAGACUACGCUCGUAGAUGUCCGUGGGGAUUCGGUUUCGGACAGGAGUUCGAUUCUCCUCAUCUCCAUAA
This 381-nucleotide transfer-messenger RNA is filed under the name Clostridia. Its description in RNAcentral is "SIG423 sp015069195 Standard tmRNA". It matches the Rfam family "transfer-messenger RNA". Rfam says of the family: Bacterial tmRNA, also known as 10Sa RNA or SsrA, is named for its dual tRNA and mRNA-like properties. Its role is to liberate the mRNA from a stalled ribosome. The record is from RNAcentral. RNAcentral also lists the same sequence under 1 other name. Lineage: Bacteria; Bacillati; Bacillota.